This 352-nucleotide unclassified non-coding RNA is filed under the name fungal sp. RNAcentral describes it as "partial internal transcribed spacer region". The stretch from base 1 to 46 matches the Rfam family "Eukaryotic small subunit ribosomal RNA", at positions 1786 to 1831 of the family's 1831-position model. The record is from RNAcentral. Lineage: Eukaryota; Fungi.
AAGUCGUAACAAGGUUUCCGUAGGUGAACCUGCGGAAGGAUCAUUAACACGUUUCGUUCCGAACGUUUUGACCCAUCCUAUUUUCCGUGCACCCCUCGCGUCCGGCCUCCCAGCCGCCUACCGGGUUUACUCGGUGUGGCCUGUUGGGCGUCUUCGGGAUCCAAGGCGGUUUUGGGAUUUCCUUCGGGAUUUCCUAUCUCUGUCUCCUGAAGGCGUUGCCACCUCACCCAAACCCUUAAAUCUAACUGAUCUGAACUUUUAGUUGACGCGAUGCAGUUUCUCUCGGGAGACUAAUUCGUUGCAACGACUUACAAACAAAAAACAACUCUUAACAACGGAUAUCUUGGUUCUC